CUCUGACAAUAGGAAGAGUGAUUGACAGAGACCGGAGGUUCUCAUGCAAGUCAUCGAUUGCCUUAAGCAAGGGCUGGAGGUAACUAUCCUUGUUGAUAACCACACCAAGCUUCCUCAGGCAUACAGGAAAUCCUCUUUUCAGAUCUUUCUUAUGACGCGGCAUGACACCAAGCAAUACCUCCAUGCCUUCCAUUUUCCCAAUCUUUUCAGGAAGCUCGACACUUGGUAGAGUUGGGUCGUCAAUGCAACCAGCCAGCAGCCGCUUCAGCUUUAGGAGCCGGAGGUAUCUCGUUGCAGUCUUGUGCACAUUGUUGUGGCGGAUAUCCAGUACUUCCAGCUCGUGGAGGCGGUUGAUUUCUCCUGGCAGCUGCGUAACAUUUGUGCUCCUUAGGUUCAGGUACUUGAGCAGUAGCAGGUUGCAGCAGACGUCCUUGAGGUAACUCGUGUUCUUCGUACCAACACACUUGCAG
This 470-nucleotide long non-coding RNA is filed under the name Zea mays. Its description in RNAcentral is "long non-coding RNA (ZMAY_LNC005014)". Lineage: Eukaryota; Viridiplantae; Streptophyta; Magnoliopsida; Poales; Poaceae. The record is from RNAcentral.